UACGUAGGGAGCAAGCGUUAUCCGGAUUUAUUGGGUGUAAAGGGUGCGUAGACGGGAAGGCAAGUUGGUUGUGAAAUCCCUCGGCUUAACUGAGGAACUGCAACCAAAACUAUCUUUCUUGAGUGCUGGAGAGGAAAGUGGAAUUCCUAGUGUAGCGGUGAAAUGCGUAGAUAUUAGGAGGAACACCAGUGGCGAAGGCGACUUUCUGGACAGUAACUGACGUUGAGGCACGAAAGUGUGGGGAGCAA
Molecule: ribosomal RNA, 248 nt
Filed under: uncultured Oscillospiraceae bacterium
Lineage: Bacteria; Bacillati; Bacillota; Clostridia; Eubacteriales; Oscillospiraceae
Description: partial 16S ribosomal RNA
Rfam family: Bacterial small subunit ribosomal RNA
Source: RNAcentral